This 256-nucleotide ribosomal RNA is filed under the name uncultured bacterium. RNAcentral describes it as "partial 16S ribosomal RNA". It matches the Rfam family "Bacterial small subunit ribosomal RNA", at positions 524 to 776 of the family's 1533-position model. The record is from RNAcentral.
UACGGGGGGGGGCAAGCGUUGUUCGGAAUUACUGGGCGUAAAGGGCUCGUAGGCGGCCAACUAAGUCAGACGUGAAAUCCCUCGGCUUAACCGGGGAACUGCGUCUGAUACUGGAUGGCUUGAGGUUGGGAGAGGGAUGCGGAAUUCCAGGUGUAGCGGUGAAAUGCGUAGAUAUCAGGAAGAACACCCGUGGCGAAGGCGGCUCUCUGGAACGCAACUGACGCUGAGACGCGAAAGCGUGGGGGAGCAAAACAGG